GACGAACGCUGGCGGCGUGCUUAACACAUGCAAGUCGAACGGAAAGGCCCUGCUUUUGUGGGGUGCUCGAGUGGCGAACGGGUGAGUAACACGUGAGUAACCUGCCCUUGACUUUGGGAUAACUUCAGGAAACUGGGGCUAAUACCGGAUAGGAGCUCCUGCUGCAUGGUGGGGGUUGGAAAGUUUCGGCGGUUGGGGAUGGACUCGCGGCUUAUCAGCUUGUUGGUGGGGUAGUGGCUUACCAAGGCUUUGACGGGUAGCCGGCCUGAGAGGGUGACCGGCCACAUUGGGACUGAGAGACGGCCCAGACUCCUACGGGAGGCAGCAGUGGGGAAUAUUGCACAAUGGGCGGAAGCCUGAUGCAGCAACGCCGCGUGCGGGAUGACGGCCUUCGGGUUGUAAAACGCUUUCGCCUGUGACGAAGCGUGAGUGACGGUAAUGGGUAAAGAAGCACCGGCUAACUACGUG
This 468-nucleotide ribosomal RNA is filed under the name uncultured bacterium. RNAcentral's name for it is "partial 16S ribosomal RNA". It matches the Rfam family "Bacterial small subunit ribosomal RNA", at positions 28 to 507 of the family's 1533-position model. The record is from RNAcentral.